GAUGAACGCUGGCGGCGUGCCUAAUACAUGCAAGUCGAACGCAUUGUGGUUGAAAUGAUAUGAAGAACUUGUUCAGAUUUGAUUUUCAACAUUGCAAUGAGUGGCGAACGGGUGAGUAACACGUGGGAAACCUACCUCUUAGCAGGGGAUAACAUUUGGAAACAAAUGCUAAUACCGUAUAAUAAUUAAAACCGCAUGGUUUUAGUUUAAAAGAUGGUCUUGCUAUCACUAAGAGAUGGUCCCGCGGUGUAUUAGUUAGUUGGUGAGGUAAUGGCUCACCAAGACAAUGAUACAUAGCCGAGUUGAGAGACUGACGGCCACAAUGGGACUGAGACACGGCCCACUACUCCUACGGAGGCAGCAGUAGGGAA
This 371-nucleotide ribosomal RNA is filed under the name uncultured bacterium. RNAcentral describes it as "bacterial SSU rRNA". It matches the Rfam family "Bacterial small subunit ribosomal RNA", at positions 28 to 361 of the family's 1533-position model. The record is from RNAcentral.